AGCGAACGCUGGUGGCAGGCUUAACACAUGCAAGUCGAGCGGGCAUCUUCGGAUGUCAGCGGCAGACGGGUGAGUAACACGUGGGAACGUACCCUUCGGUUCGGAACAACUCUGGGAAACUGGAGCUAAUACCGGAUACGCCCUUAUGGGGAAAGGUUUACUGCCGAAGGAUCGGCCCGCGUCUGAUUAGCUAGUUGGUGGGGUAACGGCCUACCAAGGCGACGAUCAGUAGCUGGUCUGAGAGGAUGAUCAGCCACACUGGGACUGAGACACGGCCCAGACUCCUACGGGAGGCAGCAGUGGGGAAUAUUGGACAAUGGGCGCAAGCCUGAUCCAGCCAUGCCGCGUGAGUGAUGAAGGCCUUAGGGUUGUAAAGCUCUUUUGUCCGGGACGAUAAUGACGGUACCGGAAGAAUAAGCCCCGGCUAACUUCGUG
This 435-nucleotide ribosomal RNA is filed under the name uncultured bacterium. RNAcentral's name for it is "partial 16S ribosomal RNA". It matches the Rfam family "Bacterial small subunit ribosomal RNA", at positions 29 to 507 of the family's 1533-position model. The record is from RNAcentral.